Molecule: long non-coding RNA, 578 nt
Filed under: Mus caroli (Ryukyu mouse)
Lineage: Eukaryota; Metazoa; Chordata; Mammalia; Rodentia; Muridae
Description: RIKEN cDNA 2900042K21 gene (MGP_CAROLIEiJ_G0034637.1)
Source: RNAcentral
UGGAGGAAAGCUUCUUGUUAUAACUGAGAAUUCCUAAGUGGCAACAUUUCUCAGCUCUGAACUCUGGGUUGCAUCUCAAGCUAACAGCAGCUCACCUACCAAGUCCCACCCAGGUCACCUAGGCUAACACCUCAUUCUCUUCCUCAUUCCUGUUUCUUCUAUGUCUAAGUCCUUGAAGCUACAGGAAGAUGAAAGCAAUAGAUGACACCUGGAAGAUUUAGGGAUACAUUAACAGAUUUCCAUUUUAUAGCAUUUGAAAUGUCUUUAUGUCUGUGUGCGUGCGUGCGUGCGUGCGUGCGUGGGUGUGUGUGUGUGUGUGUGUUUGCACUGUGUGGAGGGCAAAGGUCAACCUCAGACGUUUCUCAGGUGGCGUCUACUUUAAUUAAUUAGUUGAUUAGUUAAUUAAUUAAUGAGACAGGGUCUCUCACUGGCCCAGAGCUCUCAGCUGGGUUAGGCUGACUGGCCAGUAAAUUUAAUUAAUCCACCUGCCUCAGCCUCUACAGUUCUUGGAUUACAAGUCAUGUAUUCCCUACUGCACCUGACUUGGCAUUUGAUAUUUCUGUGACAGGCACUAUUGC